RNAcentral lists this ribosomal RNA (840 nucleotides) under Triticum aestivum (bread wheat). Its description in RNAcentral is "partial small subunit ribosomal RNA". The record is from RNAcentral. Lineage: Eukaryota; Viridiplantae; Streptophyta; Magnoliopsida; Poales; Poaceae.
AUGGCGAACAAGGACCUCACCUUCCCACAGGUGGUCUUCAACCCCUCGACUCCGACCUACCGCCGGCACACUAUCGCCUGGACUUCCACCUCGAACCCGCUGCUGCCCUUGGACGACGAGCCGCCGCUUCUCGAUGAGCUGGACACCCCGACCGAAUCUCUACCUCGCCGAGGCGGAACCGUCGCCGCCGCCGCACCAGCCAUGGUGAACAGAUACCUCCCCUUCUUCCAAGGGGUGGUACUCAACCCGUCCACGCCGACCCACCACCCUAUCCCCGGGAACGGGAACGUCGCCGCCAACUUGGACGACGAGCCGCCGCUUCUGGAGGAGCUCGACAUCGACACGGGUCUCAUCUGGCGGAAGGCGGUCUCCAUCCUCCACCCCCUCCGCUCCGUGGACCCGUCCCUCCACGCGGACGCCGACCUCUCCGGCCCCGUGCUGAUCCUACUAUCCUUGGCCCUCUUCCAGCUCAUGGCCGGGAAGCUCCACUUCGGGAUCGUCCUCGGCUGGGCCACCGCCGCGUCCUUCUUCCUCUACUUCAUCUCCUCCAUGCUGCUCUCGCCGGGACGAGGAGGCCGUGGCGACUUCAGCCUCUACAGGUGCGCCAGCCUGCUAGGCUACUGCAUGCUCUCCAUGACCAUCUUCUCGGCGGUGUCUCUGUUCCUGCCGCGGGGCGGCGGGCUCAUCUUCGCGGUGGGCAUGGGGUUCGUGCUGUGGUCCACCAGGGUCUGCAGCAGGCUGCUGGUAGCUUCCGGCGGCCAUGGCGAUGAGCAUCGGGGGCUCAUUGCCUACCCGUGCUUCCUCGUCUUCAUGCUCUUCUCCCUGCUUGUCAUCUUUUGA